Long non-coding RNA from Perognathus longimembris pacificus (Pacific pocket mouse), 171 nucleotides. RefSeq lists it as uncharacterized. The record is from RefSeq and is a predicted model, not a curated record. NCBI's taxonomy places the organism in Eukaryota, Metazoa, Chordata, Mammalia, Rodentia, Heteromyidae. The transcript is spliced from 3 exons.
CUUCCAUUUCCUUACGAAUGGGGCAAUGUCAUUCUUUCUAAUAGAGGCAUAAAAUUCCAUUGUGUAUAUGUACUGCAUUUUCCUAAUCCACACGUUUACUGAGGGGCAUCUGGGUUGGUUCCCUAUCUUAGCAAUGACAAAUGGUGCUGCAAUGAUCAUUGUUGUGAUGGU